This 430-nucleotide ribosomal RNA is filed under the name bacterium. Its description in RNAcentral is "partial 16S ribosomal RNA". It matches the Rfam family "Bacterial small subunit ribosomal RNA", at positions 355 to 776 of the family's 1533-position model. The record is from RNAcentral.
UGGGGAAUAUUGGACAAUGGGCGCAAGCCUGAUCCAGCCAUGCCGCGUGUGUGAAGAAGGCCUUUUGGUUGUAAAGCACUUUAAGCGAGGAGGAGGCUACUUGGAUUAAUACUCUAGGAUAGUGGACGUUACUCGCAGAAUAAGCACCGGCUAACUCUGUGCCAGCAGCCGCGGUAAUACAGAGGGUGCGAGCGUUAAUCGGAUUUACUGGGCGUAAAGCGUGCGUAGGCGGCUUCUUAAGUCGGAUGUGAAAUCCCUGAGCUUGACUUAGGAAUUGCAUUCGAUACUGGGAAGCUAGAGUAUGGGAGAGGAUGGUAGAAUUCCAGGUGUAGCGGUGAAAUGCGUAGAGAUCUGGAGGAAUACCGAUGGCGAAGGCAGCCAUCUGGCCUAAUACUGACGCUGAGGUACGAAAGCAUGGGGAGCAAACAGG